RNAcentral lists this ribosomal RNA (253 nucleotides) under uncultured Myxococcales bacterium. RNAcentral's name for it is "partial 16S ribosomal RNA". It matches the Rfam family "Bacterial small subunit ribosomal RNA", at positions 524 to 776 of the family's 1533-position model. Lineage: Bacteria; Pseudomonadati; Myxococcota; Myxococcia; Myxococcales. The record is from RNAcentral.
UACAGAGGGUGCGAACGUUGCUCGGAAUUACUGGGCGUAAAGCGCGUGUAGGCGGGCCAGUAAGUCAGGUGUGAAAUCCCCGAGCUCAACUCGGGAACUGCAUCUGAAACUCCUGGCCUUGAGUACUGGAGAGGGCGGCGGAAUUCCUGGUGUAGAGGUGAAAUUCGUAGAUAUCAGGAGGAACAUCAGUGGCGAAGGCGGCCGCCUGGACAGUGACUGACGCUGAGACGCGAAAGCGUGGGGAGCAAACAGG